Long non-coding RNA from Triticum aestivum (bread wheat), 1078 nucleotides. RefSeq lists it as uncharacterized. NCBI's taxonomy places the organism in Eukaryota, Viridiplantae, Streptophyta, Magnoliopsida, Poales, Poaceae. The record is from RefSeq and is a predicted model, not a curated record. The transcript is spliced from 6 exons.
UUUGUGUGUAAAUUCAGAGUUCUAAUCACCAUCCUGGUGUUUGCUGGUUUCAGGCAUUGUAUGGGAUGGAUCUAUCAUGCUGGGAUUAGUUGUAGACUUCCUUGCUGAACCCUACAGGGAGCAAUGCAUCCCCAGUUUGCUUCCAGAGAAGGAAGGGGAAGAGGGUUUUCUUGUUGCUGCUAUUCGUCGUGGAUAUUCAAGAGGCAACUUGGCACCUAAUGUCAGCAACAUGCUUAUCGGUGACGAGGGAAAUGAAAGAAGGCUGCAAUGGAAUUUGUACUAGGUGAGUUGAGUUGCUGCUUGGUUGGAGAUGUUGACGUCGUUCGAGACGCCCGCUGGAUUCACCCUUUUCAAGGUUCUGAAUAAGGGCAAGCUCGACAAGGUCGAGUGGUACAGGUAUGAUCUUCAUGGAGCUAGGCAUCACUGGAUUUGGUAAUACAUAAUCACUUAUUCAGAGAGCCCAAGGUGAGAAGGGACGAGCAUCUAGAACACCACCACCUACUAAUCAGUGAGCUACUAUCUGUCUUUGAAUGAGUUACUUAACAAGAGAAGGCAGGAGUUUCCUACCUUUCUUCUGCAAAUCUGGAAUGCCUUUAUGGCAUGAUCAUGUGAAAAAGUACCUUGAUGCAGUAAUGGAUUUGAUUUUCACUGGUUACUCUGUUUUCACGAAUUACUAUCCAACUAGCAUGGAAGAACCAAAAGGUAGUUGAUCAGCAGGAUGGCAAGAGGAAGACAAGAACCAAAUUAAAGUUUGUUGCUGUGCAUGUCUGUAUCUAUCAAGAUUCAGUGCUAUGUAGAAAUGUCCUUGAGAUUUGUUUCACUCAACGAGACCAAACAAUCAGGAACACAAGUAGGAUAGUUGAUGCUUUUUUCAUUUUUCUUCUGAUGAAAAGGAAUCUUCAUCUGCCAAGAAUACGGCCUAUAAGCAUGUAUGCCUAAUUACCUAUAUGUUGAUUUAACAAGCUCACAUACAUGUCCAUUUCUGAAAAUAGUUUACCCAUCCUCAAACAUAUAACUUGUGUGUUGUUGCUUUCCAUUAUAUUGAGAAAAACAUAAGUUUCACUGGACCUUUUAUUCA